AUUGAACGCUGGCGGCAUGCCUUACACAUGCAAGUCGAACGGCAGCACGGGAGCAAUCCUGGUGGCGAGUGGCGAACGGGUGAGUAAAGUAUCGGAACGUGCCCAGUCGUGGGGGAUAACGUAGCGAAAGUUACGCCAAUACCGCAUACGAUCUACGGAUGAAAGCGGGGGAUCGCAAGACCUCGCGCGAUUGGAGCGGCUGAUAUCAGAUUAGGUAGUUGGUGGGGUAAAGGCUCACCAAGCCGACGAUCUGUAGCUGGUCUGAGAGGACGACCAGCCACACUGGGACUGAGACACGGCCCAGACUCCUACGGGAGGCAGCAGUGGGGAAUUUUGGACAAUGGGCGCAAGCCUGAUCCAGCCAUGCCGCGUGCAGGAUGAAGGCCUUCGGGUUGUAAACUGCUUUUGUACGGAACGAAAAGGUUUGGCCUAAUAAGCUGGACCCAUGACGGUACCGUAAGAAUAAGCACCGGCUAACUACGUGCCAGCCGCCGCGGUAA
This 500-nucleotide ribosomal RNA is filed under the name uncultured bacterium. RNAcentral describes it as "partial 16S ribosomal RNA". It matches the Rfam family "Bacterial small subunit ribosomal RNA", at positions 30 to 523 of the family's 1533-position model. The record is from RNAcentral.